This 503-nucleotide ribosomal RNA is filed under the name uncultured bacterium. Its description in RNAcentral is "partial 16S ribosomal RNA". It matches the Rfam family "Bacterial small subunit ribosomal RNA", at positions 30 to 523 of the family's 1533-position model. The record is from RNAcentral.
AUUGAACGCUGGCGGCAGGCUUAACACAUGCAAGUCGAGCGGGAUGAUGGUGCUUGCACUAUCACUUAGCGGCGGACGGGUGAGUAAUGCUUAGGAAUCUGCCUAUUAGUGGGGGACAACAUCUCGAAAGGGAUGCUAAUACCGCAUACGUCCUACGGGAGAAAGCAGGGGAUCACUUGUGACCUUGCGCUAAUAGAUGAGCCUAAGUCGGAUUAGCUAGUUGGUGGGGUAAAGGCCUACCAAGGCGACGAUCUGUAGCGGGUCUGAGAGGAUGAUCCGCCACACUGGGACUGAGGCACGGCCCAGACUCCUACGGGAGGGAGCAGUGGGGAAUAUUGGACAAUGGGGGGAACCCUGAUCCAGCCAUGCCGCGUGUGUGAAGAAGGCCUUAUGGUUGUAAAGCACUUUAAGCGAGGAGGAGGCUCUUUUGGUUAAUACCCAAGAUGAGUGGACGUUACUCGCAGAAUAAGCACCGGCUAACUCUGUGCCAGCAGCCGCCGUAA